AAGCACGCGAGGUUUAUGUCUGCUGGUGUGAGCUACGGUUCAAAUUCCCACAAUAACAAUGGAGUUAGCUCAGCUCCUAUAAACACAUUUUCAGCUUCCUCAGAGUGCUUUCUUGAAAGUUUUGGAAUCCCUUCAUCAAUUGCCCAGAUUUUUCAACAUUUCUACAACAAUGG
Molecule: long non-coding RNA, 173 nt
Organism: Octopus sinensis (East Asian common octopus)
Lineage: Eukaryota; Metazoa; Mollusca; Cephalopoda; Octopoda; Octopodidae
Exons: 2
Source: RefSeq, a predicted model, not a curated record